RNAcentral lists this ribosomal RNA (205 nucleotides) under Acetivibrio sp. enrichment culture. RNAcentral's name for it is "partial 16S ribosomal RNA". It matches the Rfam family "Bacterial small subunit ribosomal RNA", at positions 337 to 557 of the family's 1533-position model. Lineage: Bacteria; Bacillati; Bacillota; Clostridia; Acetivibrionales; Acetivibrionaceae. The record is from RNAcentral.
UCCUACGGGAGGCAGCAGUGGGGAAUAUUGCGCAAUGGAGGAAGCCCUGACGCAGCAACGCCGCGUGAAGGAUGAAGGUCUUCGGAUUGUAAACUUCUUUGAUUGGGGACGAAGAAGUGACGGUACCUAAAAAACAAGCCACGGCUAACUACGUGCCAGCAGCCGCGGUAAUACGAUGGAGGCAAGCGUUGUCCGGAUUUACUGG